RNAcentral lists this non-coding RNA (148 nucleotides) under Homo sapiens (human). Lineage: Eukaryota; Metazoa; Chordata; Mammalia; Primates; Hominidae. The record is from Rfam by way of RNAcentral.
GCUGGGCAUGGUGGCACAUGCCUGUAGUCCCAGCUACUUGGGAGGCUGAGGCAGGAGAAUCACUUGAACCCAGGAGGCAGAGUUUGCAGUGAGCCAAGAUUGUGCCACUGCACUCCAGCCUGGGCGACAGAGUGAAAUCCUGUCUCAA